Non-coding RNA from Camellia sinensis, 480 nucleotides. Lineage: Eukaryota; Viridiplantae; Streptophyta; Magnoliopsida; Ericales; Theaceae. The record is from RefSeq and is a predicted model, not a curated record.
GUAUUUUCUUGGAAAUCUCUAAUUGGUUGUUAAGAGUUUCAUUGUUCUAGGUUAGUUUAACUAGAUAUCUUUAUGUAUUCAAAUUCAAAUUAUUAUUUACUAAAUUUGAUAUUUUAAAUUGAAGUGGGUCAAAAUUGAUAGGUUUUAUUGCCAGAGACAAUAAAUUUGACGAAAAUGGGUUAGACAAAGAUGAGAAUUGAUGAACCAUUAUGAGAUACAGAGAGGUGGCUGAUUCGUAUUGGAAGCGUUGGGUUGUUGCUUCUCUUUAUGUGUGUAGUUGGUUGGCUCUCAUUGUAAACUGGAUGGUUAAUUAUUAUUAUUUUUAGUUAGAUAGGAUGAUUACUCUUUUAUACCAAAAUAUUCGUUCACCUUUUCUUGAAGGUAUUGAAAUUUGAUAAACUGAAAAUGUUACCAGUUAUGAUACUAAUUCAGUAACAUCCUUUUAUUGAAGGUUUGCUAUACAUAUGUCAUUUUAGCGUG